Molecule: long non-coding RNA, 286 nt
Filed under: Sorghum bicolor (sorghum)
Lineage: Eukaryota; Viridiplantae; Streptophyta; Magnoliopsida; Poales; Poaceae
Description: long non-coding RNA (SBIC_LNC004404)
Source: RNAcentral
AUCUCCAAGCUCAUUGGUGUAGUCGUAGUUCUCCUCGUCUGGCUCAUGCUCCUCCAAAGCUGUUAAACAAGAUAAUGGUCACAACAAGUGACCUCUAUAGAUAUUUCACAAAGAACUAAAAGGAAAUUCAAAAGAUUCAAAUGAACUCAAACACAAGUCUAUGGUUGCAGAGCUCAUUUUUUUAAAAAGAUGAACACUAGUUUCAUAUUUUUCUAAGAUCAUAUGAAUUUCCUAUGAAUUUUCUAAGUAUAAUCAUUUUCUAAAAAAGAAAAAGGAAAAAACACUC